Molecule: long non-coding RNA, 603 nt
Filed under: Triticum aestivum (bread wheat)
Lineage: Eukaryota; Viridiplantae; Streptophyta; Magnoliopsida; Poales; Poaceae
Description: long non-coding RNA (TAES_LNC021346)
Source: RNAcentral
UGGUGGUUACUAUGCUGGAUAUGGACAAGGCUACGAGGCUUAUGGACAAGGGUAUGCACAGCCUCAAGACCCUAACAUGUAUGGUUAUGGAGCCUAUGCUGGUUAUCCCAACUACCAACAACCAGCAGCGGCACCGCAGCCACCGCCACCGCAACAGGUGAAGUCCCCUAUCUAUAUAAGCGCAAAUCUUAGCUCUUGAUAAUCUUAUUAGUACUUAAUACCACCAGCAGCCUGGCUAAUCUAAAACUUUCCAUUUCUGCAGUGAGCCCUCCUCGUGGGUCGUCCAGACAGAUGAGAACCCCUGUUUGAAGGCACUGUCAAGGCUAAUGUUGUAGCACCUGUCGAUAGAGAGAGACGGUUCCUGGACUCCGGAUUUUGAUUGCCCCAUGGCAAGGUCUAUUGUUAUGUUAUUAUGCACUAUAUUAUGAUCAGCUGUUGUCCGUCCCGCUGUGGUGAUCCUUUGGAUAUGUACUUGGAAACUUAGCUUUGUUUCGCCGCAUGCCCUUGUCUACUGUUAUUUACCGUUGCUAUCUUCUGCUGUUAAAUUAUAUACUAUUUGUACCGUUUGCUUCCUGCUGCAUUUGUUUAUGUUGUUGCUUUGUG